GACGAACGCUGGCGGCGUGCUUAACACAUGCAAGUCGAACGGAAAGGCCCUGCUUUUGUGGGGUGCCCGAGUGGCGAACGGGUGAGUAACACGUGAGUAACCUGCCCUUGACUUUGGGAUAACUUCAGGAAACUGGGGCUAAUACCGGAUAGGAGCUCCUGCUGCAUGGUGGGGGUUGGAACGUUUCGGCGGUUGGGGAUGGACUCGCGGGUUAUCAGCUUGGUGGUGGGGUAGUGGCUUACCAAGGCUUUGACGGGUAACCGGCCUGUGAGGGUGACCGGCCACAUUGGGACUGAGAGACGGCCCAGACUCCUACGGGAGGCAGCAGUGGGGAAUAUUGCACAGUGGGCGGGAGCCUGAUGCAACAACGCCGCGUGCGGGAUGACGGCUUUCGGGUUAUAAACCGCUUUCGCCUGUGACGAAGCGUGAGUGACGGUAAUGGGUAAAGAAGCACCGGCUAACUACGUG
RNAcentral lists this ribosomal RNA (468 nucleotides) under uncultured bacterium. RNAcentral's name for it is "partial 16S ribosomal RNA". It matches the Rfam family "Bacterial small subunit ribosomal RNA", at positions 28 to 507 of the family's 1533-position model. The record is from RNAcentral.